GGAGGGCUGUAGCUCAGUGGUAGGGCAUCUGCUUUGCAUGCAGAAGGUCCUAGGUUCAAUCCCCAUCAUCUCCA
This is a non-coding RNA of Podarcis lilfordi (Lilford's wall lizard), 74 nucleotides long. NCBI's taxonomy places the organism in Eukaryota, Metazoa, Chordata, Lepidosauria, Squamata, Lacertidae. The record is from the annotation of a GenBank genome assembly.